This 538-nucleotide ribosomal RNA is filed under the name uncultured bacterium. RNAcentral's name for it is "bacterial SSU rRNA". It matches the Rfam family "Bacterial small subunit ribosomal RNA", at positions 8 to 526 of the family's 1533-position model. The record is from RNAcentral.
AGAGUUUGAUCCUGGCUCAGAACGAACGCUGGCGGCGUGGAUAAGACAUGCAAGUCGAGCGGGGUAUUAUUUGUAGCAAUACAAAUGAUGCUCAGCGGCGCAAGGGUGCGUAACACGUGGGCAAUCUGCCGAAAAGUGGGGGAUAGCUCGCCGAAAGGCGAAUUAAUACCGCAUGUGGUUAGGAAGGACAUCCUUCCGACACUAAAGCCGGGGUAACCUGGCGCUUUUUGAUGAGCCCGCGGCCUAUCAGCUUGUUGGCGGGGUAACGGCCCACCAAGGCUAUGACGGGUAGCUGGUCUGAGAGGACGACCAGCCACACUGGAACUGAGACACGGUCCAGACACCUACGGGUGGCAGCAGUCGAGAAUUUUUCUCAAUGGGGGAAACCCUGAAGGAGCGACGCCGCGUGGAGGAUGAAGGUCUUCGGAUUGUAAACUCCUGUCAUUUGGGAACAAUUGUCACGCGUUAACUGCGCGGGGCUUGAUAGUACCAGAAGAGGAAGAGACGGCUAACUCUGUGCCAGCCGCCGCGGUAAUUC